RNAcentral lists this ribosomal RNA (497 nucleotides) under uncultured bacterium. RNAcentral's name for it is "partial 16S ribosomal RNA". It matches the Rfam family "Bacterial small subunit ribosomal RNA", at positions 28 to 507 of the family's 1533-position model. The record is from RNAcentral.
GGUGAACGCUGGCGGUGGGCCUAAUACAUGCAAGUCGAACGACAGCAUAGUGAGCGUUUUCCUUUGACGUUGGCGGCUGACGGGUGGGUGACACAUACGUCGCCUUCCUCUUUUACUGGGAGAACACCGUGAGACCGCUUCUACUGCUACCUAAUAUUUAGUACCGCUGAAUUCUGAGGAGAUUGGUGCUUUGCCCGUUUAUAUGAGCUGAUCACGGGCCGUAUUAUUUAGGUGGUAAGGUACCGGCUUAGCAAGGCCACGAUACGUAGCCGACCUGAUAGGGUGAUCGGCCACACUGGAAAUGAGACACGGUCCAGCCUACUACGGGAGGCAGCAGUAGGGAAUCUUCCGCAAUGGGCGAAAGCCUGACGGAGCAACGCCGCGUGAGUGAUGAAGGUCUUCGGAUCGUAAAACUCUGUUAUUAGGGAAGAACAAAUGUGUAAGUAACUGGGCACGUCUUGACGGUACCUAAUCAGAAAGCCACGGCUAACUACGUG